Molecule: ribosomal RNA, 825 nt
Filed under: uncultured eukaryote
Lineage: Eukaryota
Description: SSU rRNA
Rfam family: Eukaryotic small subunit ribosomal RNA
Source: RNAcentral
AGUAUAAGCACUUAUACCGUGAAACUGCGAAUGGCUCAUUAAAUCAGUUAUAGUUUAUUUGAUAGUACCUUUACCUGGAUAACUGUGGUAAUUCUAGAGCUAAUACAUGCUAAAAACCUCGACUUCGGAAGGGGUGUAUUUAUUAGAUAAAAAACCAAUGCCCUUCGGGGCUCUUUGGUGAAUCAUGAUAACUUAACGAAUCGCAUGGCCUUGCGCCGGCGAUGGUUCAUUCAAAUUUCUGCCCUAUCAACUUUCGAUGGUAAGGUAGUGGCUUACCAUGGUUUCAACGGGUAACGGGGAAUUAGGGUUCGAUUCCGGAGAGGGAGCCUGAGAAACGGCUACCACAUCCAAGGAAGGCAGCAGGCGCGCAAAUUACCCAAUCCCGAUACGGGGAGGUGGUGACAAUAAAUACUGAUACGGGGCUCUUUCGGGUCUCGUAAUUGGAAUGAGUACAAUCUAAAUCCCUUAACGAGGAACAAUUGGAGGGCAAGUCUGGUGCCAGCAGCCGCGGUAAUUCCAGCUCCAAUAGCGUAUAUUAAAGUUGUUGCCGUUAAAAAGCUCGUAGUUGAACUUUGGCCCGGGUUGAUCUGUCCUCCUAAUCGAGCGCACGGAUUCGAUCUGGGCUUUCCUUCUGGGGAACCCGAUGUUCUUCAUUGAGCGUCGUGGGGAACCAGGACUUUUACCUUGAAAAAAUUAGAGUGUUCAAAGCAGGCCUUUGCUCGAAUACAUUAGCAUGGAAUAAUAGAAUAGGACAUCGGUUCUAUUUUGUUGGUUUCUAGGACCGCUGUAAUGAUUAAUAGGGAUAGUCGGGGGCGUCCGUAUUCA